Molecule: non-coding RNA, 191 nt
Organism: Maylandia zebra (zebra mbuna)
Lineage: Eukaryota; Metazoa; Chordata; Actinopteri; Cichliformes; Cichlidae
Source: RefSeq, a predicted model, not a curated record
CAAUGGAGGUGGAGGAGGGAGAGCUGGAGCCCGAGGACAUCUCCGUUAACCGCUCUCUGAAGGAGCUGCUGCCGGACACCAGUCGGCGGUAUGAGAACAAGGCCGGAGCCUUCAUCACUGGAAUCGACGUCAACUCUAAGGAGGCGAUCGAAAGGAAAGAGAAGCGAGCGCAGCGUUUCCAUUUUCACGGG